GAGCACGUAGGUGGGUUUGUAAGUCAGAUGUGAAAGCCUUCUGUUCAACGGAAGUAUUGCACCUGAAACUGCGAGUCUUGAGUGUAGGAGGGGAGAAUGGAACUUCUGGUGGAGCGGUGAAAUGCGUAGAUAUCAGAAGGAACGCCGGCGGCGAAAGCGAUUCUCUGGCCUAUUACUGACACUCAGUGUGCGAAAGCUAGGGGAGCAAACGGGAUUAGAUACCCCGGUAGUCCUAGCCGUAAACGAUGGGCACUAAGUAGAGGGGUUUU
Molecule: ribosomal RNA, 269 nt
Filed under: uncultured Planctomycetales bacterium
Lineage: Bacteria; Pseudomonadati; Planctomycetota; Planctomycetia; Planctomycetales
Description: partial 16S ribosomal RNA
Rfam family: Bacterial small subunit ribosomal RNA
Source: RNAcentral